UGCCGGGUAGCUCAACAGUAGAGCGGCCGCCUGUUAAGCGGCGAGAUGUAGGUGCGAAUCCCACCCCGGCAG
This 72-nucleotide transfer RNA is filed under the name Opitutus terrae PB90-1. It matches the Rfam family "tRNA". From Rfam's summary of the family: Transfer RNA (tRNA) molecules are approximately 80 nucleotides in length. Their secondary structure includes four short double-helical elements and three loops (D, anti-codon, and T loops). The record is from Rfam by way of RNAcentral. Lineage: Bacteria; Pseudomonadati; Verrucomicrobiota; Opitutia; Opitutales; Opitutaceae.